This 559-nucleotide ribosomal RNA is filed under the name uncultured Pleosporaceae. Its description in RNAcentral is "eukaryotic LSU rRNA". The stretch from base 184 to 337 matches the Rfam family "5.8S ribosomal RNA". The record is from RNAcentral. Lineage: Eukaryota; Fungi; Ascomycota; Dothideomycetes; Pleosporales; Pleosporaceae.
CCUGCGGAGGGAUCAUUACACAAAUAUGAAGGCGGGCUGGAACCUCUCGGGGUUACAGCCUUGCUGAAUUAUUCACCCUUGUCUUUUGCGUACUUCUUGUUUCCUUGGUGGGUUCGCCCACCACCAGGACAAACAUAAACCUUUUGUAAUUGCAAUCAGCGUCAGUAACAAAUUAAUAAUUACAACUUUCAACAACGGAUCUCUUGGUUCUGGCAUCGAUGAAGAACGCAGCGAAAUGCGAUAAGUAGUGUGAAUUGCAGAAUUCAGUGAAUCAUCGAAUCUUUGAACGCACAUUGCGCCCUUUGGUAUUCCAAAGGGCAUGCCUGUUCGAGCGUCAUUUGUACCCUCAAGCUUUGCUUGGUGUUGGGCGUCUUGUCUCUAGCUUUGCUGGAGACUCGCCUUAAAGUAAUUGGCAGCCGGCCUACUGGUUUCGGAGCGCAGCACAAGUCGCACUCUCUAUCAGCAAAGGUCUAGCAUCCAUUAAGCCUUUUUUUCAACUUUUGACCUCGGAUCAGGUAGGGAUACCCGCUGAACUUAAGCAUAUCAAUAAGCGGAGGAA